Molecule: non-coding RNA, 89 nt
Filed under: unclassified sequences
Description: GP20-a RNA
Rfam family: GP20-a RNA
About the family: gut metagenomes. Environment (Cow rumen (57))
Source: RNAcentral
UUUGCCCUUGUCUGCUGGGCUUUAAAUGCAGAAUAGGCAGUGCGCAGAGUGGCUGCGCGUUUACAAAUAAAAUCUGGCCGAAGGAGAGA